AGUGGUUAUUUUUAGUAGGAACGAUUUUAUUAACUUAAUACGAUACUGAGGCUGUGACCGCUUUUAGACUCUGUCACUCGUCUGAACUUGUGCGGUGGUUCGUGCCGCGCGUGCUUUGUUGGAAGCAUUUUUCUUUUGUUUUUGGACAUCAUGACGCAAGUUUUAGUGAAAUUGCUCUAUGAUGAUAAGUGGGAUGUUUAUCCGUUGAAGACGUUUGCUGACGCAGCUACUGGUCUUCGGGUGAUGUUCGAGCCUGGCAGUUUUGAUGAGUUGCGCGGCAGAAUUCAUGAUGGAAGGAAGGCGAACAAAGCCGCAGUCUGACUUCUGCACACAGGCAAACCGCAUGCCCUGGAGCGAAAGCGCGCGAAGCUAGCGCUUGCUGCCGCCGCUGCUUCGAUUGAAAUGUUACACAUGCACCAAAUGCCCAGGUGCUAACGUGUCGUUCGUCAAGAACAGCUUGGCGUCGUUUCUCGCAAGAGACAUCCAUUCAUCUGCGGCUGAUUCACCAGGAAGCUCGCAUCUCUGUUGCCACUCUGCGUCAAGUGGGAUUUCUAACUAUUUUUUAUUCUGCCCUGUGGUGUACGCUGUGACGCUGUGAAGACUUACUUUCAUGGACGCCGUGAAGGCUUACUUUCGAUGUGUUCUGCCUUUUAGUUGUAAAGAAUUGGCUACCUUGUGAGUGGAGGUAGUUCCUUUUUCUUGUGAGAAUGUUUAUCAGCCUAACCAAGUGGUACAUGCGUACUUGAAACAGCAGCACAGACGAGGAUAAUGAAAUAAGUAGGAACACAUACAAGCGUCGACUCAACUAGAAGUUUAUUCUUGAAGACAGGUUGUAAACACAUUGGACCUUGACAAAGAUAAGAAACCAUGUAUGUGUGGCCUUUGUGAUUAAACAAAAUUGUGUUAUCUGCUGUAAGGGGUAGAACGAACAAUUGUUUCAUCACAAAGACCAGAACACAAGAGAAAUUACGGAAGCCUUAUUUAUUGAUUGCAAAGAAGACAAAUGCAUAAGCUAUCUGUUGCUCUUAAUGGGAAAGAGUUGGGAUUUUUAAAAGAGCUCUCCUUGUUUGGUGGUAUCAUUUAUAGGACAUCUUUCACUGUUUUCUUUUUUACCUGCAUAUUUAUACUACAAAACACGUCUUUCGUUCCUUUUUUUUUUUUGUUGCACCGGGCUGUCUGCCACGCAUGCAUGGCUAUUUCUUUGUCAAGUUGGCCAGUGUGCUUAAUAUCUUUGUCGUCACGAACAAACUUCUAGUUGAGUCAGCAUUAUUGUGUGUUCAUACCUUAUUUCACCGUUCUCAUCUUUGUUUGAGCUGUUUGUAAAGUAUGUACACACACCAAAUUACCAAAGUAUCCGUAAAAUUGAGAUACAUGAAGUUAUUUGCACUAUUCAUUUCUGCAAGAACGGUAUAGCUUCUCAUCUCGUUUGUUCUUAACGUUGUUGUACAGUUUCUGUAAUAUAUAGCUUGGAAAGACGUUUUCUGUCUGAUUAAAUAUGCAUGUAUGUCACUUUCGAUAUUUUUUUUCAACAUGGGUAGUGCAGCUCCUUCCGUCUUUCAGUUACUGCUUUGUCGCAACUUUUAUAUAUUUUAUGCAGCGAAAUGCUGGUGGAAUUAUAUAUAUUUAUGUGCGCAAGUGUGGUAAAUGGUGUUUUGUAUGUACAUUUAUUUGCGUUUUUUACUAGCUCUCCAAUCUGGCUGUACAGUUAUUGAAACCUUUUCUCAUGCUUUAUAAUGAGUUGUUCUAGGCUCUUUGAUGAUGCAGGUGACCAUUUAUUUCACUGUUGGGUAUUGCGUUAGCUGUGUGUCACUCCAGUUGUCUAUGUAUUUUAUGUCACUUCAUUAUAUCAUUGAAAGUAUUAGCCUUGCAUUAGCUUUUUAUUAACCGAGGUACC
Dermacentor silvarum is the source of this 1894-nucleotide long non-coding RNA. RefSeq lists it as uncharacterized. The record is from RefSeq and is a predicted model, not a curated record. NCBI's taxonomy places the organism in Eukaryota, Metazoa, Arthropoda, Arachnida, Ixodida, Ixodidae. The transcript is spliced from 3 exons.